RNAcentral lists this ribosomal RNA (149 nucleotides) under Syncephalastrum racemosum. RNAcentral describes it as "5.8S ribosomal RNA". It matches the Rfam family "5.8S ribosomal RNA". Rfam says of the family: 5.8S ribosomal RNA (5.8S rRNA) is a component of the large subunit of the eukaryotic ribosome. It is transcribed by RNA polymerase I as part of the 45S precursor that also contains 18S and 28S rRNA. The record is from RNAcentral. Lineage: Eukaryota; Fungi; Mucoromycota; Mucoromycetes; Mucorales; Syncephalastraceae.
AACUUUAAGCAAUGGAUUUUUUGGCUUUCGCAUCGAUGAAGAGGGUAGCAAAUUGCGAUAAUUAGUGCGAUUUGCAUUUUGGGAAUCAUCGAGUUUUUGAACGCACCUUGCACCCUUUGGGUUGUCCUUGGGGUAUGCUUGUUUCAGUA